UGGGGAAUAUUGGACAAUGGGGGCAACCCUGAUCCAGCAAUGCCGCGUGUGUGAAGAAGGUCUUCGGAUUGUAAAGCACUUUCGACGGGGACGAUGAUGACGGUACCCGUAGAAGAAGCCCCGGCUAACUUCGUGCCAGCAGCCGCGGUAAUACGAAGGGGGCUAGCGUUGCUCGGAAUGACUGGGCGUAAAGGGCGUGUAGGCGGUUUACACAGUCAGAUGUGAAAUCCCCGGGCUUAACCUGGGAGCUGCAUUUGAUACGUGUAGACUAGAGUGUGAGAGAGGGUUGUGGAAUUCCCAGUGUAGAGGUGAAAUUCGUAGAUAUUGGGAAGAACACCGGUGGCGAAGGCGGCAACCUGGCUCAUGACUGACGCUGAGGCGCGAAAAGCGUGGGGAGCAAACAGGAUUAGAUACCCUGGUAGUCCACGCUGUAAACGAUGUGUGCUAGAUGUUGGGUAACUUUGUUAUUCAGUGUCGCAGUUAACGCGUUAAAGCACACCGCCUGGGGAGUACGGCCGCAAGG
This 523-nucleotide ribosomal RNA is filed under the name uncultured bacterium. RNAcentral describes it as "partial 16S ribosomal RNA". It matches the Rfam family "Bacterial small subunit ribosomal RNA", at positions 355 to 893 of the family's 1533-position model. The record is from RNAcentral.